RNAcentral lists this non-coding RNA (185 nucleotides) under Deltaproteobacteria bacterium. RNAcentral describes it as "6S RNA". It matches the Rfam family "6S / SsrS RNA". From Rfam's summary of the family: E. coli 6S RNA was the first non coding RNA to be sequenced, but its function was unknown until recently. It consists of 184 nucleotides that fold into an extended hairpin structure with a large single-stranded internal bulge. Lineage: Bacteria; Pseudomonadati; Myxococcota; Myxococcia. The record is from RNAcentral.
GACUCUCUGCCCUUCAAGUGAGGUCAGAACGUCCACUCGGAAUAGCAAAACCUUAGGGGUCACCUUAGAGAUCCGGUGAGCCAGCCCACACAAAAACAAGUGGGACGCCUGAUGGAUUGACAGCUGCCCCCACCUCAUUGGCACUCGAUGUGAGUCCAAUGACCCACGGUAGUGGUGGAGAGUCG